GGAGCUGUGCCCGAAUGCCUAAGGACCACUUUGAUAGAGUGACUAAUGGGGGCUAAAAUCCCCCCAGCUCCU
Molecule: transfer RNA, 72 nt
Filed under: Knodus borki
Lineage: Eukaryota; Metazoa; Chordata; Actinopteri; Characiformes; Stevardiidae
Description: tRNA-Ile
Rfam family: tRNA
About the family: Transfer RNA (tRNA) molecules are approximately 80 nucleotides in length. Their secondary structure includes four short double-helical elements and three loops (D, anti-codon, and T loops). Further hydrogen bonds mediate the characteristic L-shaped molecular structure. tRNAs have two regions of fundamental functional importance: the anti-codon, which is responsible for specific mRNA codon recognition, and the 3' end, to which the tRNAs corresponding amino acid is attached (by aminoacyl-tRNA synthetases). tRNAs cope with the degeneracy of the genetic code in two manners: having more than one tRNA (with a specific anti-codon) for a particular amino acid; and 'wobble' base-pairing, i.e. permitting non-standard base-pairing at the 3rd anti-codon position.
Source: RNAcentral